This is a long non-coding RNA of Nothoprocta perdicaria, 1087 nucleotides long. RefSeq lists it as uncharacterized. Lineage: Eukaryota; Metazoa; Chordata; Aves; Tinamiformes; Tinamidae. The record is from RefSeq and is a predicted model, not a curated record. The transcript has 4 exons.
UUCCAGGCUAAAGAGCUGGAAGGAACAGAGGAAUCCUGAGGAGCCUUGGGGGAGCAGUAGGACUCAGGGCUGCUGCAGAGACCUGUUCUCUUUGCUCAUGUGAAAAGGCACCACGAAAUGACUGCUCUGCUCUUGACACGCUGUGGAUUCACAGAGUUCCUGACGCUUGCCCGGACAGGCUUCCUCCCCACUGUAUUUACAGCUGAAGUUGGGCAAGCACUGGAGAACAAUACGGGAAGCAAAGUUCAGGGUUGUGCCACAGUCUGGAGAAACUUCAGAGACCAAAGACCUUUGGUGUCCCAGAGCACCUGGUGUGAGCACAGCUUUGAAAAGACACAAGCAGCCAGAGAUGAGUAGUAGUUUCUGAGAAGAGGAACUUCUUCCUGAGAAAGAAGAGAGGCCCUUUUGAAGGGGAAAUGAAUGCUGAAGCAAGGCUCAAAAACACGGUCACACGCUGUUGCUGCCAUCAGGGUGGGGUGCAGGAGGAAACUUUCACAGCGUAGCUUUCACAACUGCAGCAUCGUUAAAUGCUUAAUGAUAAUAAGCACUGUGGUGUCAGCAUGAGCAUGUCUUUCUCCAGCAUUAUUUUAUCCUUGAGGAGCUGAAAGGAUGGCCCACACAUGUUCACUAACUGCUGGGAUGUUAUAUCCAUCCUUAAGACAUAGUGACUAUAGGAGAAAGCAGAGAGAACUGACGCGCACAAAAGGUGUUUCUUGGCCAGCCUCAAAGGUCAAAGGAGCUGCUGCUUUAUUGAAGGGGAAGGUUCCCUCACAUUCCUUUUCGUACUGAUGAAAAGUCACUUAGGGAAAAUCUUUUAUCUGGGCUGCUUAGGUCAAGGAACUGACAUCAGAAGUUGAUAUUUUGCUCCUAUUUCUUGCACAUCAUCUGCUCUUUUAUGUGAUUAUGCAAUAAACUCAGUGCAGGUUGGAGUUCAUGUAGAAGAUAUGUGUGUGUCUCCUGGGCAAUGCAAAAAAACAGCAAUCAUUUACAUUGAGCAAAUGCCCUGCUAAGCAGUUUCCAUAGAGACAGCACGUUAAAUGAACUCUUCCUCGUUUUUAUUUCUCUUCUAGAAUUUAAAUCAACAUCU